RNAcentral lists this ribosomal RNA (662 nucleotides) under Eichleriella shearii. RNAcentral's name for it is "partial 28S large subunit ribosomal RNA". It matches the Rfam family "Eukaryotic large subunit ribosomal RNA", at positions 46 to 693 of the family's 3401-position model. Lineage: Eukaryota; Fungi; Basidiomycota; Agaricomycetes; Auriculariales; Exidiaceae. The record is from RNAcentral.
AUAAGCGGAGGAAAAGAAACUAACAAGGAUUCCCCUAGUAACGGCGAGUGAAGAGGGAAGAGCUCAAAUUUAAAAUCUGGCGGUCUACGGCCGUCCGAGUUGUAAUCUAGAGAGGUGUUUUCCGUGCCGGACCGUGUACAAGUCCCUUGGAACAGGGCGUCAUAGAGGGUGAGAAUCCCGUCCAUGACACGGACUCCCGGUGCUUUGCGAUACACCUUCGAAGAGUCGAGUUGUUUGGGAAUGCAGCUCAAAAUGGGUGGUAAAUUCCAUCUAAAGCUAAAUAUAGGCGAGAGACCGAUAGCGAACAAGUACCGUGAGGGAAAGAUGAAAAGAACUUUGGAAAGAGAGUUAAACAGUACGUGAAAUUGUUGAAAGGGAAACGCUUGAAGUCAGUCGCGUCCGCAGGGACUCAGCCUUGCUUCUGCUUGGUGUAUUUCUCUGCGGAUGGGCCAGCAUCGAUUUUAGUCGCCGGAAAAGGGCGGGAGGAAUGUGGCAGCUUGCUGUGUUAUAGCCUCUCGUCGUACACGGUGACCGGGAUCGAGGUCUGCAGCACGCCUUUUGGUCGGGGUUCGCCCACGCCACGUGCUUAGGAUGCUGGCGUAAUGGCUUUAAACGACCCGUCUUGAAACACGGACCAAGGAGUCUAACGUGCCUGCGAGUGU